AACGAACGCUGGCGGCAGGCCUAACACAUGCAAGUCGAGCGGACCCUUCGGGGUUAGCGGCGGACGGGUGAGUAACGCGUGGGAAUAUGCCCUUCUCUACGGAAUAGUCCUGGGAAACUGGGGGUAAUACCGUAUACGCCCUUUGGGGGAAAGAUUUAUCGGGGAAGGAUUAGCCCGCGUUGGAUUAGGUAGUUGGUGGGGUAAUGGCCUACCAAGCCGACGAUCCAUAGCUGGUUUGAGAGGAUGAUCAGCCACACUGGGACUGAGACACGGCCCAGACUCCUACGGGAGGCAGCAGUGGGGAAUCUUAGACAAUGGGGGCAACCCUGAUCUAGCAAUGCCGCGUGAGUGAUGAAGGCCUUAGGGUUGUAAAGCUCUUUCAGCUGGGAAGAUAAUGACGGUACCAGCAGAAGAAGCCCCGGCUAACUCCGUG
This 433-nucleotide ribosomal RNA is filed under the name uncultured bacterium. Its description in RNAcentral is "partial 16S ribosomal RNA". It matches the Rfam family "Bacterial small subunit ribosomal RNA", at positions 29 to 507 of the family's 1533-position model. The record is from RNAcentral.